Molecule: ribosomal RNA, 289 nt
Filed under: Pratylenchus penetrans
Lineage: Eukaryota; Metazoa; Nematoda; Chromadorea; Rhabditida; Pratylenchidae
Description: partial large subunit ribosomal RNA
Rfam family: Eukaryotic large subunit ribosomal RNA
Source: RNAcentral
CCCGUCUUGAAACACGGACCAAGGAGUUUAUCGUGUGCGCAAGUCAUUGGGUGUUGAAAACUCAAAGGCGCAAUGAAAGUAAAGAAUCCGCAAGGAUACGACGUGUGAUCUGAGCAAUCACGAUUGCCUGGAGCAACAUGGCCCCAUUCUGGUCGCUUGCGACGGGGUGGAGGAAGAGCGUACGCGGUGAGACCCGAAAGAUGGUGAACUAUUCCUGAGCAGGAUGAAGCCAGAGGAAACUCUGGUGGAAGUCCGAAGCGAUUCUGACGUGCAAAUCGAUCGUCUGACU